This 206-nucleotide ribosomal RNA is filed under the name uncultured bacterium. RNAcentral's name for it is "partial 16S ribosomal RNA". It matches the Rfam family "Bacterial small subunit ribosomal RNA", at positions 568 to 774 of the family's 1533-position model. The record is from RNAcentral.
UGCGUAGGUGGUGAUUUAAGUCAGCGGUGAAAGUUUGUGGCUCAACCAUAAAAUUGCCGUCGAAACUGGGUUACUUGAGUGUGUUUGAGGUAGGCGGAAUGCGUGGUGUAGCGGUGAAAUGCAUAGAUAUCACGCAGAACUCCGAUUGCGAAGGCAGCUUACUAAACCAUAACUGACACUGAAGCACGAAAGCGUGGGAUCAAACA